RNAcentral lists this ribosomal RNA (492 nucleotides) under uncultured bacterium. RNAcentral's name for it is "partial 16S ribosomal RNA". It matches the Rfam family "Bacterial small subunit ribosomal RNA", at positions 29 to 507 of the family's 1533-position model. The record is from RNAcentral.
AGUGAACGCUGGCGGUAGGCCUAACACAUGCAAGUCGAACGGCAGCACAGUAAGAGCUUGCUCUUACGGGUGGCGAGUGGCGGACGGGUGAGGAAUACAUCGGAAUCUACUUUUUCGUGGGGGAUAACGUAGGGAAACUUACUCUAAUACCGCAUACGACCUACGGGUGAAAGCAGGGGAUCUUCUGACCUUGCGCGAUUGAAUGAGCCGAUGUCGGAUUAGCUAGUUGGCGGGGUAAAGGCCCACCAAGGCGACGAUCCGUAGCUGGUCUGAGAGGAUGAUAGGCCACACUGGAGCUGGGACACGGACCAGACUCCUACGGGAGGCAGCAGUGGGGAAUAUUGGACAAUGGGCGCAAGCCUGAUCCAGCCAUACCGCGUGGGUGAAGAAGGCCUUCGGGUUGUAAAGCCCUUUUGUUGGGAAAGAAAAGCAGCAGGUUAAUACCCCGCUGUUCUGACGGUACCCAAAGAAUAAGCACCGGCUAACUUCGUG